This 659-nucleotide long non-coding RNA is filed under the name Homo sapiens (human). RNAcentral describes it as "long non-coding RNA NONHSAT192692". The record is from RNAcentral. Lineage: Eukaryota; Metazoa; Chordata; Mammalia; Primates; Hominidae.
ACCUAUGAACAUUCUGUAGGGGCCACUGUCUUCUCCACGGUGCUCCCUUCAUGCGUGACCUGGCAGCUGUAGCUUCUGUGGGACUUCCACUGCUCGGGCGUCAGGCUCAGGUAGCUGCUGGCCGCGUACUUGUUGUUGCUCUGUUUGGAGGGUUUGGUGGUCUCCACUCCCGCCUUGACGGGGCUGCCAUCUGCCUUCCAGGCCACUGUCACAGCUCCCGGGUAGAAGUCACUGAUCAGACACACUAGUGUGGCCUUGUUGGCUUGGAGCUCCUCAGAGGAGGGCGGGAACAGAGUGACAGUGGGGUUGGCCUUGGGCUGACCUGUGACGGUGACCUUGGUCCCAGUUCCGAAGACAUAACACAUGCUGCUGUCCCACACCUGACAGUAAUAGUCAGCCUCAUCCCCGGCUUGGGCUCUGCUGAUGGUCAGGGUGGCCGUGUUCCCCGAGUUGGAGCCAGAGAAUCGCUCAGGGAUCCCAGAGGGCCGGUUGCUAUCCCUAUAGAUGACCAGCACAGGGGCCUGGCCUGGCUUCUGCUGGUACCAGUGCACAUUUUUACUUCCAAUGUUGUUUCCCCCACAGGUAAUCCUGGCCGUCUGUCCCAGGGCCACUGACACUGAGAGUGGCUGAGUCAGCUCAUAGGAGGCCACAGAACCUGC